RNAcentral lists this ribosomal RNA (305 nucleotides) under uncultured bacterium. RNAcentral describes it as "bacterial SSU rRNA". It matches the Rfam family "Bacterial small subunit ribosomal RNA", at positions 335 to 654 of the family's 1533-position model. The record is from RNAcentral.
AAUCCUACGGGAGGCAGCAGUGGGGAAUAUUGCGCAAUGGGGGCAACCCUGACGCAGCAACGCCGCGUGCAGGAAGAAGGUCUUCGGAUUGUAAACUGUUGUCGCAAGGGAAGAAGACAGUGACGGUACCUUGUGAGAAAGUCACGGCUAACUACGUGCCAGCAGCCGCGGUAAUACGUAGGUGACAAGCGUUGUCCGGAUUUACUGGGUGUAAAGGGUGCGUAGGCGGCUUGGCAAGUCAGUAGUGAAAUCCAUGGGCUUAACCCAUGAACUGCUAUUGAAACUGUCGCGCUUGAGUGAAGUAG